AGUAGCGGCGAGCGAACGGGGAGCAGCCCAGAGCCUGAAUCAGUGUGUGUGUUAGUGGAAGCGUCUGGAAAGGCGCGCGAUACAGGGUGACAGCCCCGUACACAAAAAUGCACAUGCUGUGAGCUCGAUGAGUAGGGCGGGACACGUGGUAUCCUGUCUGAAUAUGGGGGGACCAUCCUCCAAGGCUAAAUACUCCUGACUGACCGAUAGUGAACCAGUACCGUGAGGGAAAGGCGAAAAGAACCCCGGCGAGGGGAGUGAAAAAGAACCUGAAACCGUGUACGUACAAGCAGUGGGAGCACAGAGCAAUCUGUGUGACUGCGUACCUUUUGUAUAAUGGGUCAGCGACUUAUAUUCUGUAGCAAGGUUAACCGAAUAGGGGAGCCGAAGGGAAACCGAGUCUUAACUGGGCGUUAAGUUGCAGGGUAUAGACCCGAAACCCGGUGAUCUAGCCAUGGGCAGGUUGAAGGUUGGGUAACACUAACUGGAGGACCGAACCGACUAAUGUUGAAAAAUUAGCGGAUGACUUGUGGCUGGGGGUGAAAGGCCAAUCAAACCGGGAGAUAGCUGGUUCUCCCCGAAAGCUAUUUAGGUAGCGCCUCGUGAAUUCAUCUCCGGGGGUAGAGCACUGUUUCGGCAAGGGGGUCAUCCCGACUUACCAACCCGAUGCAAACUGCGAAUACCGGAGAAUGUUAUCACGGGAGACACACGGCGGGUGCUAACGUCCGUCGUGAAGAGGGAAACAACCCAGACCGCCAGCUAAGGUCCCAAAGUCAUGGUUAAGUGGGAAACGAUGUGGGAAGGCCCAGACAGCCAGGAUGUUGGCUUAGAAGCAGCCAUCAUUUAAAGAAAGCGUAAUAGCUCACUGGUCGAGUCGGCCUGCGCGGAAGAUGUAACGGGGCUAAACCAUGCACCGAAGCUGCGGCAGCGACGCUUAUGCGUUGUUGGGUAGGGGAGCGUUCUGUAAGCCUGCGAAGGUGUGCUGUGAGGCAUGCUGGAGGUAUCAGAAGUGCGAAUGCUGACAUAAGUAACGAUAAAGCGGGUGAAAAGCCCGCUCGCCGGAAGACCAAGGGUUCCUGUCCAACGUUAAUCGGGGCAGGGUGAGUCGACCCCUAAGGCGAGGCCGAAAGGCGUAGUCGAUGGGAAACAGGUUAAUAUUCCUGUACUUGGUGUUACUGCGAAGGGGGGACGGAGAAGGCUAUGUUGGCCGGGCGACGGUUGUCCCGGUUUAAGCGUGUAGGCUGGUUUUCCAGGCAAAUCCGGAAAAUCAAGGCUGAGGCGUGAUGACGAGGCACUACGGUGCUGAAGCAACAAAUGCCCUGCUUCCAGGAAAAGCCUCUAAGCAUCAGGUAACAUCAAAUCGUACCCCAAACCGACACAGGUGGUCAGGUAGAGAAUACCAAGGCGCUUGAGAGAACUCGGGUGAAGGAACUAGGCAAAAUGGUGCCGUAACUUCGGGAGAAGGCACGCUGAUAUGUAGGUGAAGUCCCUCGCGGAUGGAGCUGAAAUCAGUCGAAGAUACCAGCUGGCUGCAACUGUUUAUUAAAAACACAGCACUGUGCAAACACGAAAGUGGACGUAUACGGUGUGACGCCUGCCCGGUGCCGGAAGGUUAAUUGAUGGGGUCAGCGCAAGCGAAGCUCUUGAUCGAAGCCCCGGUAAACGGCGGCCGUAACUAUAACGGUCCUAAGGUAGCGAAAUUCCUUGUCGGGUAAGUUCCGACCUGCACGAAUGGCGUAAUGAUGGCCAGGCUGUCUCCACCCGAGACUCAGUGAAAUUGAACUCGCUGUGAAGAUGCAGUGUACCCGCGGCAAGACGGAAAGACCCCGUGAACCUUUACUAUAGCUUGACACUGAACAUUGAGCCUUGAUGUGUAGGAUAGGUGGGAGGCUUUGAAGUGUGGACGCCAGUCUGCAUGGAGCCGACCUUGAAAUACCACCCUUUAAUGUUUGAUGUUCUAACGU
RNAcentral lists this ribosomal RNA (1964 nucleotides) under Escherichia coli. RNAcentral's name for it is "partial 23S ribosomal RNA". It matches the Rfam family "Bacterial large subunit ribosomal RNA", at positions 242 to 2228 of the family's 2925-position model. Lineage: Bacteria; Pseudomonadati; Pseudomonadota; Gammaproteobacteria; Enterobacterales; Enterobacteriaceae. The record is from RNAcentral.